AUGCUAGGCUCCUUGAGCUUUCCGGUCACCUCCCCCGACCUAACCUCUGCUUCCCCGCUCCUGGCCUCCUUUGCUGCUCUUCAGCUUGAUGAAACCCUUGCCGCCGCUUUCCUCCAAGCUUGCUAUGGUGGCUCCGCCAUCGAGUUCUAUGUCCAUAAGAUCUCGGACCACCUUCUCCGCUUCCACAUCGCCUCCAGCGAGGUGGCUGACCUUGUCCCUCACUAUGCCGUUUUCAAGCGGCGCCUCGUCUCCCUUGUCGUGCUGCCGUUUGACCUCAUCUUGGCCACCCCUGUGCGGCCUGCGACGGCAUUUCUAUUCUACUGCCGCUCUUUGGCCUCCGUCCUUUCUGUCUCAUCGGACCUCGGCCUUGCUUUUGAGCGCCUUGCAUGGUCACGUUUUCGCUCCCCCGUCACUCUCCAGGCUGGGCGCCCUGCCCAUGGGUGCCGCUCGUAUGCAAGGAUCAUCUAG
RNAcentral lists this ribosomal RNA (468 nucleotides) under Triticum aestivum (bread wheat). RNAcentral describes it as "partial small subunit ribosomal RNA". Lineage: Eukaryota; Viridiplantae; Streptophyta; Magnoliopsida; Poales; Poaceae. The record is from RNAcentral.